RNAcentral lists this transfer RNA (74 nucleotides) under Vertebrata lanosa. RNAcentral's name for it is "tRNA-Lys". It matches the Rfam family "tRNA". Rfam says of the family: Transfer RNA (tRNA) molecules are approximately 80 nucleotides in length. The record is from RNAcentral. Lineage: Eukaryota; Rhodophyta; Florideophyceae; Ceramiales; Rhodomelaceae.
GAGUAUGUAGCUUAAUUGGAUAAAGCAUUGAACUUUUAAUUUAGUGAUUUUAGGUUCAAGUCCUAACAUACUCA